GUUGAGUUGAGUUGAGUUUAGUUGUAAUAACAAAUGUACAAGUUUAAGUCUUGAGAGUUGCUGCUUUAUGCAAAAAAUGUGGUGGGGUAAGAUUCUCUCCAAAAUUUUCCUUCCCAAGAUCUUACUUCUAUGGAACCUUUACCAUUUAAUGUUCUUUUAAAUAUGGAAAUCAAGAGAUUAACAUGACCAUAUGCAAUAUUUAGGAGCACUCAUCCUGA
This 218-nucleotide unclassified non-coding RNA is filed under the name Hevea brasiliensis (rubber tree). Lineage: Eukaryota; Viridiplantae; Streptophyta; Magnoliopsida; Malpighiales; Euphorbiaceae. The record is from RNAcentral.